This 2271-nucleotide long non-coding RNA is filed under the name Lupinus angustifolius (narrow-leaved blue lupine). RNAcentral describes it as "long non-coding RNA (LANG_LNC002517)". Lineage: Eukaryota; Viridiplantae; Streptophyta; Magnoliopsida; Fabales; Fabaceae. The record is from RNAcentral.
UGUGCCCAGGAUGCAUAGCGCCAGAGCAUCCUCGGUCAUGAUGCGCCCAGAUCAGUAGACUUGGUCAGAUUUUGAUGCACCAGGCCCUGGGCGCCUCGGUCAGAAAUCAUGCGCCAAGGCCUGUGUGCUACGGUCAGAGUGUUGAGUUGAGCCUCAGGCUGAUGCACAGUGGGCGAUGCAUUGUGGUGCAUGGGCUUCUUAUUUCUUCGGUCAUAAGUCACAAUUCCUCGGUCAACAUUAGUUUUCCCUCGGUCAAGUGGUGCUAUUGGUCGAUGGAUUUUGAGUUUGGCUUAAUCAAUUAUGCUUUUGGCUUGGCUAUGUUGCAUGGGAGAUCUAUCUUGGUUAGGUGCAUUUGUUGGUGACUUUAAUAGGAGGGAAUGAAGGAUUUGAAUUAGGGGAGUGUGGUUAUUGCUGAAGGGGUUGUUGUUGGUGGGGAAGGUUGUGAUAUGAAAUAUAGACUUGGGGCCUAGAGACAAGUUAGGUAGACACUUCAAAUUUGGUUCAUUGUUCAUACACUACUUAGCUAAGUUGUACAUAUCCAGUUUUUUUAUGAUUAUUAAUUUUAGCGGUUGAUUAAUUUUUUAAAUUCAACUGGUAUAUUUAGUUGAAUACGAGCUUUCUAUCUUCAAAUUUCAAUAAUUAUUUUUGUGAUAUUUAUAUUUCUUUAUCCCUUCUAUCAUUCUAUGUGAUAGUAAUUCUAAUUUCUAUGUGAUAGUAAUGAAAUAAAAAUAUACAUCACUGUAUUCAUUCCUCCAUUUUAAUUUAUGCCUUUUUCCAAGGUUCCACUAAUUUUAUUCACAUGAAAACUUGUCCCAUCGAAAGAUCUAUAUAUUAUUGUGGAUGGUGGGUGCAUGCCCCAUGUAAAUGUGAAGUGGAAGAAAUUUGACAUGGAACUUUAGGCUUUCUUUGUGGUAUUUUGGAGGGGAAGAGAAAUGAUGAUUUUAGAGAUGAGAAGAUUUUGGAGGAUUUCUUAAACCCUCUAAAACCCUCCAUACGUCUAUUUCUAAAGUUCCUUCAGUUUAGGGUUUUUUGGAAGUAAAAUAUCGUCAAAAUAUUUUUAGUAAUAUUAUAUAAUUAUACAUUAUUGUGAAUUUCUCAUUAUUAAUUAUAUUUUAAAAGGAAAAAUAAAAAUAUACUUAUAUUAUCAUUAGUUUGUCUCUAAAUUUUAUACUUCUAAACAAGAGGAUGAUUUUCUUCAAUUUCCCUUCCUUCCAUUUCCUAUCUCUUUCCUUCCCUUUCCCUCAUAACUCAUAAACAAUCUCUUUAGCUUAACUAAAGAGACCUAUAUAAUAUGUUGUUAGGCUUGAAAAAAUAAAUUAUCAUGGCCUUCAUUCACAUAUAUCUUAAUUACUCUAUCUAAUUUUUAUUUUGAAAAAAAGGGUAGUAGUUUGUUGCUUCAAGAGCAAGCAACUAACUACUAACCACUUUAGGAGCCAAAUUAACUCAUAAUAGCCUAUAACAAAAUUCUUCUAAGAAGCAUCUAGAAGGUAGAUAAACAAGAAAAGCCCAUGAGAAAAGCCUAAAAAGGAAAAAAGGCUCAGCUCAAAAGAAAAUGAGGUGCCAUGGCUCGGUCAAAAUUGACGCGCCAUGGCUAACCAGAAAAUGGUGUGCCCAGGAUGCAUAGCGCCAGAGCAUCCUCGGUCAUGAUGCGCCCAGAUCAGUAGACUUGGUCAGAUUUUGAUGCACCAGGCCCUGGGCGCCUCGGUCAGAAAUCAUGCGCCAAGGCCUGUGUGCUACGGUCAGAGUGUUGAGUUGAGCCUCAGGCUGAUGCACAGUGGGCGAUGCAUUGUGGUGCAUGGGCUUCUUAUUUCUUCGGUCAUAAGUCACAAUUCCUCGGUCAACAUUAGUUUUCCCUCGGUCAAGUGGUGCUAUUGGUCGAUGGAUUUUGAGUUUGGCUUAAUCAAUUAUGCUUUUGGCUUGGCUAUGUUGCAUGGGAGAUCUAUCUUGGUUAGGUGCAUUUGUUGGUGACUUUAAUAGGAGGGAAUGAAGGAUUUGAAUUAGGGGAGUGUGGUUAUUGCUGAAGGGGUUGUUGUUGGUGGGGAAGGUUGUGAUAUGAAAUAUAGACUUGGGGCCUAGAGACAAGUUAGGUAGACACUUCAAAUUUGGUUCAUUGUUCAUACACUACUUAGCUAAGUUGUACAUAUCCAGUUUUUUUAUGAUUAUUAAUUUUAGCGGUUGAUUAAUUUUUUAAAUUCAACUGGUAUAUUUAGUUGAAUACGAGCUUUCUAUCUUCAAAUUUCAAUAAUUAUUUUUGUGAUAUUUAUAUUUCUU